This 1343-nucleotide ribosomal RNA is filed under the name uncultured bacterium. RNAcentral's name for it is "bacterial SSU rRNA". It matches the Rfam family "Bacterial small subunit ribosomal RNA", at positions 28 to 1381 of the family's 1533-position model. The record is from RNAcentral.
GAUGAACGCUGGCGGCGUGCUUAACACAUGCAAGUCGAACGAUGAAGCCCAGCUUGCUGGGUGGAUUAGUGGCGAACGGGUGAGUAACACGUGAGUAACCUGCCCUUAACUCUGGGAUAAGCCUGGGAAACUAGGUCUAAUACCGGAUAGGAGCGCCUACCGCAUGGUGGGUGUUGGAAAGAUUUAUCGGUUUUGGAUGGACUCGCGGCCUAUCAGCUUGUUGGUGAGGUAAUGGCUCACCAAGGCGACGACGGGUAGCCGGCCUGAGAGGGUGACCGGCCACACUGGGACUGAGACACGGCCCAGACUCCUACGGGAGGCAGCAGUGGGGAAUAUUGCACAAUGGGCGAAAGCCUGAUGCAGCGACGCCGCGUGAGGGAUGACGGCCUUCGGGUUGUAAACCUCUUUCAGUAGGGAAGAAGCGAAAGUGACGGUACCUGCAGAAGAAGCACCGGCUAACUACGUGCCAGCAGCCGCGGUAAUACGUAGGGUGCGAGCGUUAUCCGGAAUUAUUGGGCGUAAAGAGCUUGUAGGCGGUUUGUCGCGUCUGCUGUGAAAGGCCGGAGCUUAACUCCGUGUAUUGCAGUGGGUACGGGCAGACUAGAGUGCAGUAGGGGAGACUGGAAUUCCUGGUGUAGCGGUGGAAUGCGCAGAUAUCAGGAGGAACACCGAUGGCGAAGGCAGGUCUCUGGGCUGUAACUGACGCUGAGAAGCGAAAGCAUGGGGAGCGAACAGGAUUAGAUACCCUGGUAGUCCAUGCCGUAAACGUUGGGCACUAGGUGUGGGGAACAUUCCACGUUUUCCGCGCCGUAGCUAACGCAUUAAGUGCCCCGCCUGGGGAGUACGGCCGCAAGGCUAAAACUCAAAGAAAUUGACGGGGGCCCGCACAAGCGGCGGAGCAUGCGGAUUAAUUCGAUGCAACGCGAAGAACCUUACCAAGGCUUGACAUAUACUGGACCGCAUCAGAGAUGGUGUUUCCCUUCGGGGCUGGUAUACAGGUGGUGCAUGGUUGUCGUCAGCUCGUGUCGUGAGAUGUUGGGUUAAGUCCCGCAACGAGCGCAACCCUCGUUCUAUGUUGCCAGCACGUUAUGGUGGGGACUCAUAGGAGACUGCCGGGGUCAACUCGGAGGAAGGUGGGGAUGGCGUCAAAUCAUCAUGCCCCUUAUGUCUUGGGCUUCACGCAUGCUACAAUGGCCGGUACAGAGGGUUGCGAUACUGUGAGGUGGAGCUAAUCCCUAAAAGCCGGUCUCAGUUCGGAUUGGGGUCUGCAACUCGACCCCAUGAAGUCGGAGUCGCUAGUAAUCGCAGAUCAGCAACGCUGCGGUGAAUACGUUCCCGGGCCU